CUGGAUGCCUAGGCGACGCCCGAACCCGACCCUCGGUCGCGGGUACCGGGACCGCUGGGGAAGCGCAGGGGCUGAUGUCGGCACAGUCUCCUUUCCUCUAGCCCCUGCUCGUUGCUUUGGCUCUGGACACAGGGAAGCCACGGUGGCGCGGCGACACAGCCUCACUGAGGUUAGCUUGUCCCCGGCCCCCAGCACCUGGCCUGGCGCCUGCAAUGCAGUGCCUACUGGGGGAAUGAAUCAGAACCCGAGGCUCCCUUCAAGGUCCUCCCGCCCUGUACCCACCUCCUCUCUACCUGCCUGCGGUGAUUUCGAAGCUCUCGCCACGAUAAACUAUUUCCAAGCACACUCAGUCCUGUCCUCGCCAGGGCCUCAACUCACAGCCAAUCACUGACUCACUCCAUUCAUUCAUUCCACAAUUUUUAUCGAGCCCCUCCAUCUGCCUUGGCCGGAGAACACGAUGGGCAAAGCCCGGAUCUUGGAACUACUUCUAGAGAGGAAGACAGACAUUACACACGCAAAACAGAGAAAGCCCGGUACACAUUGCUAUGUGCGCUUAGAGGGAAUCAGUCUGCUGACAGAGGAAAAAAGGCAGGUCCCCGAGCUUCCAUGGCAGGCGGACUGGGAAGGCCUCUCCGAGGCAUUGCAAGUCAGCGGAGACCCGAGGACUGACUAGGAGUUACUCUAGCGUGAAGCCGAGUAAUAGAGAAUAGCAAGUGGAAAGGUUCCCAGAGUGCCUGAAUUGAGCAAGGGGAAAGAGAGGGAUGCAGGGCCUGGAUCGAGGUCUGGGCAGAACAUGAAGAGGAGUUCGGAUUUUAUUCUACGUGAGCUGGGAAAACACUGAAGUGUGCUAAGCAGGGAAGUGACCUGAUCUGGGGGCUCCCGGCUUUUCUCUGUCUGCAGUGUCCAUGCUCGCAUCUCAGCCUGCCGGAUUCCUACCCUCCUGCCAAGACUAGCACAAAUGCAGUCUCCUCGCUGAAAUCUCUGUGGUUCCUGCCACCUGUAACCCCUCCUUUAGCAUUUCGUCACCUGUAGAGCGUUUGUCACUGUUCAUCUGGUAUUAAAGAUUCCACAUUCUCAUCCAUUUCAUCUUUGCAUCCCCCACGAGGCUAAGUGCAGGGCUUGGUACUGUGUAGAUACUGCUUAUGAAUGUGUCUUGUCUUGUCCUUUUUGUCUGUUUCCAUCAUCUGAGGAUCCUUCCUCUGGGGGGUUGACAUGCCUUAUUUCUAAAAUGGCCGACCGGAUGCAGGGCAGAGCCAGAUUGCACCAGGACCCUGCCAUCGAUAUAGUCCCCCUCACCCACCCCCGGUGUUUUGAGGAUUAAAUAAAUUAAUGAAUUAAACGAGUUAGUAGUUAUAAAGUGUUAGCACCUAUUAAGCAUUAUAAAAAUAAAUUUGAAAAUGACCAGCAAUAAUUAUCUUUCAAAUAUUUAUUUAUUGCAUUGGAAACAAGCUUUUCUAUUGGUGGUUGUUAGGGAGACUCUGCAGCUUGUCAUUGUCAUCUUGCCGGCUUUUAAGUAUGUGUUCCUACUUUUUAAAAGUCAGUGCACCAACAAAAUUCUUUCCAUACUGUCAUCAAGAACUAUUGCUGAGGCCGGGCGCAGUGGCUCACCCCUGUAAUCCCAGCACUUUGGGAGGCCAGGCGGACGGAUCACUUAAGGUCAGGAGUUCGAGCCCAGCCUGGCCAAGGUGGUGAAACCCCGUCUCUACUAAAAAUACAAAAAUUAGCUGGGCGUGGUGGCAUACACCUGUAGUUCCAGCUACCUGGGAGGCUGAGGCAGGAGAAUCGCUUGAACCCAAGAGGCAGAGGCUGCAGUGAGCUGAGAUUGCACCACUGCACUCCAGCCUGGGCCACAGAGUGAGAUUCUGUCUCAGACAAACAAACAAAAAGAACUAUUGCUGAAACUUAAUAGGGCCGAAGGCUGACCACUUUUUAUCAUGAGCUUGAAUGAGAUCGAUGAUUGCAACAAGUAUUCCUUGAGUGAUAAUUACAUGCAUAGUGUUAUUCCAGAUGUUGUGUGAAUGCUUACAAAAGAGGAAUAGAUGAAUAUUGCCACUGUAGUAACUUGGAUUAGAAUAAGUGUUCUAGUUUUAUAAUUUUUAUUUUAAUUUUUAAAAUCUUUAAAGUUCCGGGAUACACAUGUAGGAUGUUCAGGUUUGUUACAUAGGUAAAGGUGUGCCUUGGUGGUUUGCUGCACCUAUCAGCCCAUCACUUAGGUAUUAAGCCCAGCAUGCAUUAGCUAUUUUUCCUGAUGCCCUCCCUCCCCUGCCCUCACCACCACGGGCCCCAUUGUGUGUUGGUUCCCUCCCUGUGUCCUUGUGUUCUCAUUGUUCAGCUCCCACUUAUAAGUGAGAACAACUGGUGUUUGGUUUUCUGUUCCUGCAUUAGUUUUAUAAUUUUUAAAACCAGAUCUUUAGUGCCUAUACAACCAUCUCCGCUUCUGCGUUCCUGACCUAGCGUUUACUCACAGCUUCCCAGGGCUCAUUGCCAUCCCACACCUCUCUUUUCUUAGAUAGGAUCUUGGCUGCUCACUACAUUCCUCUACUAUCUAUCUUCCCCUUCCCCCAUAAGCCCUGGGGAUAAAGCCAUUAUAAUAUCUAAUGUUACAUGAUACUUGACAUCUUAUAGAAUAGUUCAACUACAGGAUUUUGUUUAGAUCUUGACAAUACUCCUGGAAGGAGAGAGGGCAGAUGUUAUGUAUUUCCCCCAUUUUAUAUAUAAGGGAAGGUGAAACAAGCGGCACUAAGUGAUAUGCUGGAGGUCAUGUGACUGGUGAGUGUCAGACUCAGGCCUGCCUACCUAUACAACAUGCUUUCUGCCACAUCUCCCUCCACACAUGAAAAAACAUGUUUCAAUAGCUAUACUCAUGGAAGAGGGAAGUAAAACGAAUAAAUAUUAUGCAAUAAAUCUAUAUCUCAAUUUUAUUUGAUUUUUUAAAGUUAACCUGAAUUUCUUAUGAUGAUGUUAACAUCACUUUGGGCAUCUAGAAUCAUACACUUUGACAUCACACAGGCUAUGAUUUAAAUCUGCCACUAAUAAAUGGCACAUUAAUAAACUGUGUGAUAUCAGACAGCAUCCUUAGUCUUUCAAAAAUGGAGUUAUAUAUUAUCUGAAAAAUGAGGAUGACAAUUCCUAUGUCAUGUAACUGUGAUGAUUAAAUGCAUUUCUGGUACAUAGAGGUUCACAAAGGGCUGGUUAUUU
This 3198-nucleotide long non-coding RNA is filed under the name Homo sapiens (human). RNAcentral describes it as "HSALNT0008311". Lineage: Eukaryota; Metazoa; Chordata; Mammalia; Primates; Hominidae. The record is from RNAcentral.